RNAcentral lists this ribosomal RNA (199 nucleotides) under uncultured Syntrophaceae bacterium. RNAcentral describes it as "partial 16S ribosomal RNA". It matches the Rfam family "Bacterial small subunit ribosomal RNA", at positions 1184 to 1382 of the family's 1533-position model. Lineage: Bacteria; Pseudomonadati; Thermodesulfobacteriota; Syntrophia; Syntrophales; Syntrophaceae. The record is from RNAcentral.
GUCAAGUCCUCAUGGCCUUUAUGCCCAGGGCUACACACGUGCUACAAUGGGCGGUACAAAGAGAAGCAACCUCGCGAGGGUGAGCAAAUCUCAAAAAGCCGUUCUCAGUUCGGAUUGAAGUCUGCAACUCGACUUCAUGAAGUCGGAAUCGCUAGUAAUCGCGGAUCAGCAUGCCGCGGUGAAUACGUUCCCGGGCCUU